RNAcentral lists this ribosomal RNA (467 nucleotides) under uncultured bacterium. Its description in RNAcentral is "partial 16S ribosomal RNA". It matches the Rfam family "Bacterial small subunit ribosomal RNA", at positions 28 to 507 of the family's 1533-position model. The record is from RNAcentral.
GAUGAACGCUGACAGAAUGCUUAACACAUGCAAGUCAACUUGAAUUUGGGUUUUUAACUUAGGUUUGGGUGGCGGACGGGUGAGUAACGCGUAAAGAACUUGCCUCACAGCUAGGGACAACAUUUGGAAACGAAUGCUAAUACCUAAUAUUAUGAUAAUAGGGCAUCCUAUAAUUAUGAAAGCUAUAAGCGCUGUGAGAGAGCUUUGCGUCCCAUUAGCUAGUUGGAGAGGUAACGGCUCACCAAGGCGAUGAUGGGUAGCCGGCCUGAGAGGGUGAUCGGCCACAAGGGGACUGAGACACGGCCCUUACUCCUACGGGAGGCAGCAGUGGGGAAUAUUGGACAAUGGACCAAGAGUCUGAUCCAGCAAUUCUGUGUGCACGAUGAAGUUUUUCGGAAUGUAAAGUGCUUUCAGUUAGGAAGAAAGAAAUGACGGUACCAACAGAAGAAGUGACGGCUAAAUACGUG